CCUACGGGAGGCAGCAGUAGGGAAUAUUGCACAAUGGGCGAAAGCCUGAUGCAGCAACGCCGCGUGCGGGAAGAAGGCCCUAGGGUUGUAAACCGCUUUCAGCAGGGAAGAAAAUGACGGUACCUGCAGAAGAAGGUGCGGCCAACUACGUGCCAGCAGCCGCGGUGACACGUAGGCACCAAGCGUUGUCCGGAUUUAUUGGGCGUAAAGAGCUCGUAGGCGGUUCAGUAAGUCGGGUGUGAAAACUCUGGGCUCAACCCAGAGACGCCACUCGAUACUGCUGUGACUCGAGUGCGGUAGGGGAGCGGGGAAUUCCUAGUGUAGCGGUGAAAUGCGCAGAUAUUAGGAGGAACACCAGUGGCGAAGGCGCCGCUCUGGGCCGUAACUGACGCUGAGGAGCGAAAGCGUGGGUAGCAAACAGGAUUAGAUACCCUGGUAGUCCACGCCGUAAACGUUGGGCACUAGGUGUGGGUCUCAACCAACGAGAUCCGCGCCGUCGCUAACGCAUUAAGUGCCCCGCCUGGGGAGUACGGCCGCAAGGCUAAAACUCAAAGGAAUUGACGG
This 564-nucleotide ribosomal RNA is filed under the name uncultured Acidimicrobiales bacterium. RNAcentral describes it as "bacterial SSU rRNA". It matches the Rfam family "Bacterial small subunit ribosomal RNA", at positions 338 to 916 of the family's 1533-position model. Lineage: Bacteria; Bacillati; Actinomycetota; Acidimicrobiia; Acidimicrobiales. The record is from RNAcentral.